UACGUAAUGUGAAUUGCAGAAUACAGUUCGAAUCAUCGUAAUCUUUGAACGCACCUUGCGCUUUGGGGGUUACUCUUCCUAAAGCAUGUCCUGUUUUGAGUGGUCUAUGUUAACUCUCAAAAAUUACAUAUUAAUUUAUUAGUGUGUGAUUUUUGGAUCAUGGCUGUUUGCUGGUUAUUUGUUUAAUCGGUCUCAGCUGAAAUUUGAAUAGCUGACUUGUUAUUCUUGAGAAGUUAAGAAGUUUUGUCAGAAUCUUCGGCGUGAUAAUUUGUUACGCAGUUUUUCUGACAAUAUAAACGACUUUAUUUCAAAGGAUAUAAGAAAAGUUGCUUCGAACUUUUAUUAUUACUAUAAUCUAGACCUCAAACCAGGUAGGACUACCCGCUGAACUUAA
RNAcentral lists this ribosomal RNA (394 nucleotides) under uncultured fungus. Its description in RNAcentral is "eukaryotic LSU rRNA". The stretch from base 1 to 103 matches the Rfam family "5.8S ribosomal RNA", at positions 59 to 154 of the family's 154-position model. Lineage: Eukaryota; Fungi. The record is from RNAcentral.